GUGCCAGCAGCCGCGGUAAUACCGGCAGCUCGAGUGAUGACCGAUUUUAUUGGGCCUAAAGCGUCCGUAGCUGGCCGCGCAAGUCUGUCGGGAAAUCCACCCGCUUAACGGGUGGGCGUCCGGCGGAAACUGUGCGGCUUGGGACAGGAAGGCUCGGGGGGUACGUUCGGGGUAGGAGUGAAAUCCCGUAAUCCUGAACGGACCACCGAUGGCGAAAGCACCUCGAGAGGACUGAUCCGACAGUGAGGGACGAAAGCUGGGGUCUUGAACCGGAUUAGAAACCCUCGUAGUC
RNAcentral lists this ribosomal RNA (292 nucleotides) under uncultured prokaryote. RNAcentral's name for it is "partial 16S ribosomal RNA". It matches the Rfam family "Archaeal small subunit ribosomal RNA", at positions 455 to 746 of the family's 1478-position model. The record is from RNAcentral.